GUUAGCUAGCUACAGUCAGCGCGUCUAGGGAAAACUCCUCCAACGGCUCUGGUUACAGCAACUACAGUUUAGUUGCUUUUUUAUGGCUCAGUUUUACCGUUAAAUAUGCCCAUUUCCUUCUCUAAGACUGGAGAACGGAUUCAUUCUGAGCGGGUCAAGGCCUCAGCAGGUGCUCUCAGGUUCAAGCUAGCCUAACACUGGCAGUUCUUACUCCAAAGGGACCGGCGGAUUCAGGAGUUCGGUCUACAACCAUCACACAAACUUCUCCUGAAGUUGUGCCAGAGGGAAACUAUCAGUGAGGAUCAGUGUUUGGGAUGUGAUGGAGACAGUUAAAUACAUUUUUAUCUGAAGGAAAAGGGAAAACUUAGAGAAGCAGAGCAUUAUAGUGAAGAAGAGAGAUGAUGACCUCAGAGUUUGGGUUGUCCUGAAGAGGAGCUCAAUUCACUGCAUAAGAUGACACAAGUGAAAUAUGGGUAAAAUCUAACCAUCAAAUUGGCAACUACAGCUGAUAAUACUUGGUUGUAGAAAAUCAGUAAAAGCAUUUUUUUGAUCCAACAUAAAGCCACACACCUUCAGUGCCUUCGUGUGGAAUAAGUCAUUUUAUUUGAACUUGUGAAUGUUGUCCGCCACAGGUUUGACGACACAGACCCACUCAAGAUUGGUCGAACAUUGAGAACUUCAGUUCAUGAAGAGGCUUUAAGAGCUACCUCCUAUGACUGCUGCUAACAAUGAACUCCAGACAAUAAAACAGCCCUUUCAGGGUUUUUGUUUUGCCAUGUCUUCCAUGAA
Long non-coding RNA from Girardinichthys multiradiatus, 789 nucleotides. RefSeq lists it as uncharacterized. Lineage: Eukaryota; Metazoa; Chordata; Actinopteri; Cyprinodontiformes; Goodeidae. The record is from RefSeq and is a predicted model, not a curated record. The transcript is spliced from 2 exons.